UGUGGAGCACGCCUUUAACCCGUUUUUCAGGUGAAACAAGAGGAUUGCUGUGAAGUGGUAGGCUAUCCUGGGCUAAAUAGCACGACCUUACCUCAUAAAACAAAUAAAAAUUACCUUCGAGCUAUUGCGUCGCUGCCGUUUUUAAACCGUUUUGCUUCGUUUUUCUCGUAGCAGAUAUCAAUGACUUCUAAUUAAACGUUAAAGCUGAACGAAGUUUGGAAAAUUUUUUCUUUUCUUUUUUUUCGGGGGUUUUAUCUCCUGAGACAGGAAUUCUCCGUAUAGACAUGGCUGUCUUGGAAGUCAUUCCGUAUACCAGGCUGGCCUCGAACUCAAGACACCAACUUUCCUCUGCCUUCGGAGUGUUGGGACUAAAGACGUGUGCGACCAUGGGUAGCUGGCAUUAAUUUCUAAUACCAUCUGACAGUCCAUCCUUUGAGUGAAAUGGUGCCCCCCACGUAGGUUCAAGUAUUUGAAAGGUUGGUGUCUGUCGGGUAGCAGUUUUCUGGUACCUUUAAGAAGGUGGAGCCUUGCUAGCGGAAGUCCCACCCAGUGGGUGGGGCUCCAGAGUGUUCAGCUGUUCCGGCGUAGCGGAGCUUGUGCGCCAUGACACCUCAAAUGGUGGUGGGCUCUAUCAGGAUGAAGCUGAGCAUCUCCUUCCCAGCCACUGGCUGCCAGCAACUCCCGGACAAUGAAGCAAGCUCUGCCUAUUCCACGAGAGGCGAGAGGUUACAGAAGUAGUUGCUGAUCCUCUGGGUGAAUAGUGGAGGGGCUGCAUGGUCUGAACCAGUGGUGGGAACAGCAGAGAAGGAUUUCCCUUGAAAGGGCCCAGCAAGGUGUGUGGACCUGCUGUUGUGUAAAACUCUUGUUAGAGACCAAAGAAAACCGGAAAGAGGCAGCCCGAGUCUGUCUGCAGUCACAUAAUGGAUGCCGGUCUGAGUUCUCAACUUGGUUAUCAUGAGCACAGGAGAGGAGACUCCCGGACUGACAGACAUGACUGUGCUUCAGCGCUUAGGGCCCAGAAGAACUGCAGAACCUGAAAACUUUUCAGUCUUUCUGAAGAGGCUGAUGGUGUCGGCCAACACAUUGUCAGAAAGUAAGCAGAGGAUGUAAGAAGCCCAGGACCAAAGCCCCCAAGAUCCAGCAUCUCCUUAUUCCAGCAAACGCUGAUGUAUUGUUCAGUGGAGACGCCAUGCUGUGGAGACCGAGGAGAGGCUGCAGCUAGGCGUUGGGCCAGGAGAAUGAAGGAAGCCAAAGUGGGGGAAAAUGCCAGGAGCAGACUCCCAAGAGAUGUAGCUGCUUCCACUUCCAAGUCAA
Long non-coding RNA from Rattus rattus (black rat), 1314 nucleotides. RefSeq lists it as uncharacterized. The record is from RefSeq and is a predicted model, not a curated record. The transcript is spliced from 2 exons. NCBI's taxonomy places the organism in Eukaryota, Metazoa, Chordata, Mammalia, Rodentia, Muridae.